Molecule: unclassified non-coding RNA, 328 nt
Filed under: soil metagenome
Description: partial contains 5.8S ribosomal RNA, internal transcribed spacer 2, and large subunit ribosomal RNA
Rfam family: 5.8S ribosomal RNA (bases 1-120)
Source: RNAcentral
GAUGAAGAACGCAGCGAAAUGCGAUAAGUAAUGUGAAUUGCAGAAUUCAGUGAAUCAUCGAAUCUUUGAACGCACAUUGCGCCCCUUGGUAUUCCGAGGGGCAUGCCUGUUCGAGCGUCAUUAUAACCCCUCAAGCUCAGCUUGGUGUUGGGGCCUGCCGCACGGGCAGCCCUUAAAAUCAGUGGCGGUGCUAUCUGGCUCUAAGCGUAGUAAUUCUUCUCGCUAUAGAGUCCCGGUGGAUGCUUGCCAUUAACCCCCAAUUUUCUAUGGUUGACCUCGGAUCAGGUAGGGAUACCCGCUGAACUUAAGCAUAUCAAUAAGCGGAGGA